GGAUGGGUGGCAGAGCGGUUGAUUGCACCGGUCUUGAAAACCGGCGGGGCGCAAGCCCUCGAGGGUUCGAAUCCCUCCCCAUCCGCCA
Molecule: transfer RNA, 88 nt
Filed under: uncultured Alphaproteobacteria bacterium
Lineage: Bacteria; Pseudomonadati; Pseudomonadota; Alphaproteobacteria
Description: tRNA-Ser
Rfam family: tRNA
About the family: Transfer RNA (tRNA) molecules are approximately 80 nucleotides in length. Their secondary structure includes four short double-helical elements and three loops (D, anti-codon, and T loops).
Source: RNAcentral